GUGUUCUGGAAUUGGCUAACAGCAGCUGAGCCAAAGUGGAUUGCAACAAUGGGCAAGGCAGCGCCACAGUUAGGAGCGGCCCUGUCAUCAGGAGCUGGGGAGAGACGCAGAGGAAGGAGGUGACUGAUGGUCGUGGCCUCUGGUCUGCCAGGCUGUGGAGACUGGUGCCCUGAGCGUGGCCUGACGGAGUUAGCUCUGGUUUUGCUUAUGGUGGCAGCUGGGAGACUGAAGCCACUGCAGUCUGCUGGUCUUCUCCUUUAAUUACCUUCACUCCCUGCGGCCUGGAGGGGCCCUGGUGGUGGUGCACCUGGUUGAGCGAAUGCUACGAUGUGCAAGGACCUGAGUUCAAGCCCUUGCUCUCCACCUGUGAAGCUUCACAAGUGGUGAAAUAGCACUGCAGGUGUCUCUCUUGCUCUUUCCAUCUCCUCCUGCCCUCUUGAUUUUUGUCUCUAUCCAAUAAAUCAGACAUUAAUUAAAAACUGUAUUGUGUAAAGUCUCUUCAGAGGUGGAUCUCCUGGCAUUAUUAGUGAUUUAUUUACCAUAUACCAUCACUGCGACUUUGUGCCUGCAGUGACUCCUGGGAU
Molecule: long non-coding RNA, 584 nt
Organism: Erinaceus europaeus (western European hedgehog)
Lineage: Eukaryota; Metazoa; Chordata; Mammalia; Eulipotyphla; Erinaceidae
Exons: 3
Source: RefSeq, a predicted model, not a curated record